RNAcentral lists this transfer RNA (88 nucleotides) under Candidatus Kerfeldbacteria bacterium CG08_land_8_20_14_0_20_40_16. RNAcentral describes it as "tRNA-Leu". It matches the Rfam family "tRNA". Rfam says of the family: Transfer RNA (tRNA) molecules are approximately 80 nucleotides in length. Their secondary structure includes four short double-helical elements and three loops (D, anti-codon, and T loops). Lineage: Bacteria; Candidatus Kerfeldiibacteriota. The record is from RNAcentral.
GCUGGGAUGGCGGAAUCGGUAGACGCGCUAGCUUCAGGAGCUAGUCCCGCUUAGCGGGAUGGGAGUUCGAGUCUCCCUCCCAGCACCA